Molecule: long non-coding RNA, 1045 nt
Organism: Pteropus alecto (black flying fox)
Lineage: Eukaryota; Metazoa; Chordata; Mammalia; Chiroptera; Pteropodidae
Exons: 3
Source: RefSeq, a predicted model, not a curated record
CCUGGAAGCGCCGGCCCCGGAGGCCGGCAACAGCGGUGAAUCCACAGCAGGGUCGUCUCACCAGGUCUGGGGACCCUCCCGGGAGCGCGCGCGGCGGGCAGAGGCGCGCGGCCAGCAACCGCGGGGGAACGGGAACACCUCACUACUUGAGCUUCAGGAAUAAAACAAACUGGGAAAGUUUCCUGAUUCAUCUUCUCUUCCUUGCAUACAAAAUCUCUUGGCAGACUGUUUUCAAGAUCUUUCCAAAGUUAGACAGACCCAAAGUUCUAGCUGUGAGCAAAGAAGGCAUUUGCUGUGGGAAAGUUUCAGAAGAUGGAGAUUAGGACAUCGAUACACACAAAGGAAAGACCAUGUAAGGACACAGCAAGAAGGCAGCCAUCUGCAAGCAAAGGAACAAAGCCUCAGAAGAAACCAACCCAGCCAACACCUUGAUCUUGGACUUCUAGCCUCCAGAAUUGUUAGAAAAUAAAUAUCUGUCAUUUAAGCUACCCAGUCUGUAGUAUUUUGUUAUGGCAGCCUCAGUAAACUAAUACAAGGGGAUAUAAUUUCUGUAUUCUAAAAGUAACACUUGUACAUCUACCAGCUUAAAAGUUAAUAUAGCGGUCCCAAAUAAUGAGUCAUUGGUUAAAUGAUGGUUAAUGCAUAUAACACAAUAUUAUAAAUAAUUAAAAAGUAAAAGGAAGAUCUAUAUAAACAUGGAAAGAUGAUGUCCUCUAAAUAGACAAUCAAAUAAAAAUUGCAGGUUACCAAAACAUAUGUGUAAUAGAGUCUCUUUGGCGGUCAUGAUGGAAGAUGUUGAUAUUGGCUCCAUGUUUUGUACAUUUUGAUGAAUUACAACAUAACAAGCAUUUAAAAUUUGUUUUAAAAAAGUUAUGAAAAGCAGAAAUAGGUGACAUAUACAAUAUCAGAGUUAACAAUAAAGAAUGAAAACUCUCAAUGCAAAUUAUAAAUUAUAAUUAUUUUUCAGUAUCUUUUGAUAUUAUACAAAUUCUGUGAAAAAGUCCCAUCCUUCUAUGGCUACCCCCAAAUGAUAAAUCUUAGGAAA